RNAcentral lists this ribosomal RNA (253 nucleotides) under uncultured bacterium. RNAcentral describes it as "partial 16S ribosomal RNA". It matches the Rfam family "Bacterial small subunit ribosomal RNA", at positions 524 to 776 of the family's 1533-position model. The record is from RNAcentral.
GACAGAGGGUGCGAACGUUGUUCGGAAUUACUGGGCGUAAAGCGCGUGUAGGCGGCAGCGCAAGUCGGGCGUGAAAUCCCACGGCUCAACCGUGGAAGUGCACUCGAAACUGCGCAGCUAGAGUCCUGGAGAGGAAGGUGGAAUGCUUGGUGUAGAGGUGAAGUGCGUAGAUAUCGGGAGGAACACCAGUGGCGAAGGCGACUUCCUGGCCUGUUCUUGACGCUGAGGCGCGAAAGCUAGGGGAGCAAACGGG